GUUGAUCAUAGCUCAGAUUGAACGCUGGCGGGAUGCUUUACAUACAGGUGAACGGCAGCACGGACUUCGGUCUGGUGGCGAGUGGCGAACGGGUGAGUAAUGUAUCGGAACGUGCUAGUAGCGGGGAUAACUACGCGAAAGCGUAGCUAAUACACAUAACCCUUCGGGGGAAAGCGGGGACCUUCGGGCCUCGCACUAUUAGAAGCAACCGAUAUCGGAUUAGCUAGUUGGUGGGGUAACGGCUCACAAGGCGACGAUCCGUAGCUGGUUUGAGAGAGGACGACCAGCCACACUGGGACUGAGACACAGCCCAGACUCCUACGGGAGGCAGCAGUGGGGAAUUUUGGACAAUGGGGGAAACCCUGAUCCAGCCAUCCCGCGUGUGCAGUGAAGGCCUUCGGUUCGCCGCCCUUUUGGCGGGAAAGAAACGGCCUGGGAUAUUAACGCCCGUGCAACUGACAGUACCUGCGAAUAACAGCUGCUACGGUAACAGCCGCGGUAACGUACGUAAGUGCAAAGCGUUAAUCGGAAUUACUGGGCGUAAAGCGUGCGCAGGCGGUUCGGAAAAGAUAUGAAAUCCCAGAACUUAACUUUGGAACUGCAUUUUUAACUACCGAGCUAGAGUGUGUCAGAGGGUGGAAUUCCGCGCGAUGUAUGCCAGUGAAAUGCGUAGAUAUGCGGAGGAACACCGAUAGUGAAGGCAACCUCCUGGGAUAACACUGACGCUCAUGCACAGCGUGGGGAGCAAACAGGAUUGAAUACCCUGGUCCCGCCCUAAACAGUGUCAACUAGCUGUUGGGGCCUUCGGGCGCGGGCUGGCGCAGCUAACGCGCGUGGUCGACCGCCUGGGAAGUACGGUCGCAAGAUUAAAGCCAAAGGAAUUGACGGGGACCCACAACGGUGGAUGAUCAUGGAUUAAUUCGAUGCAACGCGAAAACCUUACCUACCCUUGACAUGUCUGGAAAUCCCGAAGAGAUUUGGGAGUGCUCGCAAGAGAACCGGAACACAGGUGCUGCAUGGCUCGUCAGCUCGUGUCGUGAAUGUUGGGUUGGUCGUCCGCAACAGCGCAGCCCUUGGCCAUUAGUUGCUGCGAAAGGGCAUAUCCUGGCGGACUGCCGGUGACAAACCGGAGGGAAGGUGAGGAUGACGUCAGUCCUCAUGGCCCUGCGGGUGGGGCUUACGUCACCACAAUGGUCAGGACAGAGGGUCAUAACCCGCGAAGAGGGCUUGUCGAAACGAUCGUAGUCCGGAUCGCAGUCUGCAACUCGACUGCGUGAAGUGGAAUCGCUAAUCGCAGGAUCAGCAUGUCGCGGUGAAUACGUUCCCGGGUCUUGUACACACCGCCCGUCACACCAUGGGAAUUGGGUUCAAGUGAUUAGCCUAACGUAGGAAGGCGGUCUACAGUAAAGUUCAUGACUGAGGUGAAGUCUCGUAACAAAGAUAGCUCUGUUGCUGCCCUGAUUAUCACGAGAACAGCCGUAACGCUU
RNAcentral lists this ribosomal RNA (1487 nucleotides) under uncultured Bordetella sp. RNAcentral describes it as "partial 16S-23S ribosomal RNA intergenic spacer". It matches the Rfam family "Bacterial small subunit ribosomal RNA". Lineage: Bacteria; Pseudomonadati; Pseudomonadota; Betaproteobacteria; Burkholderiales; Alcaligenaceae. The record is from RNAcentral.